Molecule: ribosomal RNA, 499 nt
Filed under: uncultured phototrophic eukaryote
Lineage: Eukaryota
Description: bacterial SSU rRNA
Rfam family: Bacterial small subunit ribosomal RNA
Source: RNAcentral
UGAGGAAUUUUCUGCAAUGGGCGAAAGCCUGACAGAGCAAUACCGCGUGAGGGAUGAAGACUUACUGAGUUGUAAACCUCGGUACCUUAAGGAAGAAGAUCUGACGGUACUUAAGGUGGAAAGCAUCGGCUAACUCCGUGCCAGCAGCCGCGGUAAGACGGGGGAUGCAAGUGUUAUCCGGAUUUACUGGGCGUAAAGCGUCUGCAGGUGGUUUCUUAAGUCUACUGUUAAAUCUUGAGGCUCAACCUCAAAUCUGCAGUAGAAACUAGGAGACUUGAGUAUAGUAGGGGUAGAGGGAAUUUCCAGUGGAGCGGUGAAAUGCGUAGAUAUUGGAAAGAACACCGAUGGCGAAGGCACUCUACUGGGCUAUUACUGACACUCAGAGACGAAAGCUAGGGGAGCAAAUGGGAUUAGAUACCCCAGUAGUCCUAGCCGUAAACGAUGGAUACUCGAUGUUGGACGUAUCGACCCGUUCAGUAUCUUAGCUAACGCGUUAAGU